UGCUGUUAUUUCAAGUGACAAGACUUUUCGACGAGGAAUGAGGUCGAGAAACAUAUCUACAGACCAGAAUAUGACAGAGGCUUUAUCAUAUCAGUCAUGUGGUCCUUCUGAAAAGUUACAACCACUUACACAUAACACACUAGCAGAUGACGUUACACAGCUGGAACUGGAGCAAAAAUAUUGAGCUGUCAACAUUUCUCUGAUCGUUACAAUUAUCAUUCGAUACAUAAGAUGCAGCGAUUAUUCCCUUCUAACAGAGCAAGCCACAACGAGCUUGUUUUUUUCACAAGCAUGCAGAGAAAGGCCUACCAAAAGAACCGGGUUGUUGCACCCAUUCAUUGCUAAUGUGUUCCUUGAUGGCCAGGAUAUUGAGUCAUGCCACACUGCCAGAAUCAUCAAGUUGUGCUUUUGCUAUUUUACUUGGAAAAGGUGGUUUGCCCUACAUCACCACCAUCCUGCAAUGUACAGGAACUGGAGGACUGGUUGUUGACAAUAUGAUACCAGAUAUACCAGGAGAGCAAUCUCCUCGUCAUUGAAUAAAUGCCUUGUAACAUGGCUGCUGUUCUGCAGGCUAGAGGAGGUCCUACAGGUUAUUAGGGUUAUGAUUGGGUUGACAUGUUUGUCACACCCACCAAACAUGAGAAAACAUAUCUCAAACUGCGUUGCAGAGGUUGCAAACCAUUUUCAGGAAACAUGUCGUUCUACCAGGAAAUUGUUGUUCACCGGUUUGAGCUUGAACUUGCCCUAGAUAAACAUAUGCUGUCCUACGGCAGAUGCAGCAAAUCACGACUGCAACUAUAAUUAACAGAGAUCCAGCAACCGCAACAGAGAUCACCACUAUCAGAGAUGACGAGUCUGGAAGAACAGAAGGAGAGUGAAGGACAAACAGCCAUGAAGUAAAUCGGAGAGAGUCACAUGACCCACAUUCACCACUGAACACAACAAUGAACAAUUCUGCUGUGAUGAUGAUGAUGAUGAUGAACAGUGUGAAGAGUUACUGAUGAUGACAGGAACAGGAAGACGAGCUGAAAAACAGAAUAAAAAGGAAUACUGAUAAAUUGCAGAACUAU
Molecule: long non-coding RNA, 1070 nt
Organism: Carassius auratus (goldfish)
Lineage: Eukaryota; Metazoa; Chordata; Actinopteri; Cypriniformes; Cyprinidae
Exons: 6
Source: RefSeq, a predicted model, not a curated record